RNAcentral lists this ribosomal RNA (404 nucleotides) under Actinomycetes bacterium. RNAcentral describes it as "Actinobacteria bacterium partial 16S ribosomal RNA". It matches the Rfam family "Bacterial small subunit ribosomal RNA", at positions 355 to 776 of the family's 1533-position model. Lineage: Bacteria; Bacillati; Actinomycetota; Actinomycetes. The record is from RNAcentral.
UGGGGAAUAUUGGACAAUGGGCGCAAGCCUGAUCCAGCCAUGCCGCGUGAGUGAUGAAGGCCCUAGGGUUGUAAAGCUCUUUCACCGGUGAAGAUAAUGACGGUAACCGGAGAAGAAGCCCCGGCUAACUUCGUGCCAGCAGCCGCGGUAAUACGAAGGGGGCUAGCGUUGUUCGGAUUUACUGGGCGUAAAGCGCACGUAGGCGGACUAUUAAGUCAGGGGUGAAAUCCCGGGGCUCAACCCCGGAACUGCCUUUGAUACUGGUAGUCUGGAGUUCGAGAGAGGUGAGUGGAAUUCCGAGUGUAGAGGUGAAAUUCGUAGAUAUUCGGAGGAACACCAGUGGCGAAGGCGGCUAACUGGCUCGAUAAUGACGCUGAGGUGCGAAAGCGUGGGGAGCAAACAGG